CUCACCUGUGAGCACACAGGGAGCUUCCAGUGCCAUACACUUCCGGGUUCCGGUCCUCGUCCGGAAGUGAGCCUCACCAUUGCUGUGGAGCUGGAAUGCCAAGACAAGAGGCGUUACAGGUGACUUACUGCAGGCGGUGCUAGAGCAGUACACGGAGGGCACCCACAGGUUGGAGGAGCCGGUGUCGAAGAGGACGGAGAACUCCUGGGCUGGAGUGCCGAUGGAGAUGGUUCCAUAAUACUCGAUCUGCCAAAACAAGACAAAGAACGAUGUGAAGAAAGCCUCCUUUGUUGUGUCUGGCCACAAGUCACCAUGUCUGGGGACAACACAGGGACGAUGACUCUUUCCAAAGGGGCUAAGCAGGCUUGCCCGGAA
Gopherus flavomarginatus (Mexican gopher tortoise) is the source of this 375-nucleotide long non-coding RNA. RefSeq lists it as uncharacterized. The record is from RefSeq and is a predicted model, not a curated record. The transcript has 3 exons. NCBI's taxonomy places the organism in Eukaryota, Metazoa, Chordata, Testudines, Testudinidae.